This 502-nucleotide ribosomal RNA is filed under the name uncultured bacterium. Its description in RNAcentral is "partial 16S ribosomal RNA". It matches the Rfam family "Bacterial small subunit ribosomal RNA", at positions 30 to 523 of the family's 1533-position model. The record is from RNAcentral.
AUUGAACGCUGGCGGCAGGCUUAACACAUGCAAGUCGAGCGGGGGAAAGUACUUCGGUACUGACCUUAGCGGCGGACGGGUGAGUAAUACUUAGGAAUCUGCCUAUUAGUGGGGGACAACAUCACGAAAGGGAUGCUAAUACCGCAUACGUCCUACGGGAGAAAGCAGGGGAUCUUUAUGACCUGGCGCUAAUAGAUGAGCCUAAGACGGAUUAGCUAGUUGGUGGGGUAAAGGCCUACCAAGGCGACGAUCUGUAGCGGGUCUGAGAGGAUGAUCCGACACACUGGGACUGAGACACGGCCCAGACUCCUACGGGAGGCAGCAGUGGGGAAUAUUGGACAAUGGGGGGAACCCUGAUCCAGCCAUGCCGCGUGUGUGAAGAAGGCCUUAUGGUUGUAAAGCACUUUAAGCGAUGAGGAGGCUCAUUUGGUUAAUACCCAAGAUGAGUGGACGUUACUCGCAGAAGAAGCACCGGCUAACUCUGUGCCAGCCGCCGCUGUAA